Molecule: RNA transcript, 2608 nt
Organism: Trifolium pratense (red clover)
Lineage: Eukaryota; Viridiplantae; Streptophyta; Magnoliopsida; Fabales; Fabaceae
Exons: 6
Source: RefSeq, a predicted model, not a curated record
GAGAAGAUAACUAGAAGCAAUAUGUAACACAUGCAUUAGGUCCAAUGACAUAUGUAUUUCUCUUUUCCCAAAUUUUUUUCAUUUGUAAUGUUUUUUUCUCUCUCUUCUCUCCCUCUCUCUCUCUCGUACGCUCUCUCUUUUUCUCACCAUCACUUUCAUCUCUCCUCCGUGCCUCAUCUCCUCCUCCACCACCGCAUCCACCACAACCUCCACCACCACCUACAAAUCGAUCUCCGAAUCAGAACGUCCUCUCCGCUUCCGGUGAUGCCGCCGUCAUCAGAAUCACGUUAUUCUUCCUCUCAGGUUCCUCGUGUCAAUUUGCUCAUAAACUUUGUAGAAAUCAUAACUCUUAUUGCUGCAGCUGCAACAGUUCUGCCAUUGAUUUCCCUAUAUGGGUUUUCAAACUCACAAGUGAUUUUGUGGUAUAAUAGAAAUUGGGAAUUGGAAGAAGUAUGUGAAACCCGUAUUCUGGACAGGGGCUCACUAAAACGGUAACUGCUCUUCCUCUAUAACUCCGAAUUUAGUGUGGUUUGUCUCUAUGGUUAGCUAACGAAAUUCCGGUCGUUCCGACGCCAAUAUUAUGAAUUAUGGAGCUGUAUUGAAUCCUGCAGACGCGUUUGAAGUUCAGGGUCAGGUGCAGAAUUUUGGGUUUGAGGUUAGCAUCAUGAUCAUCAUCUUGAGCUACUGGGAAUUCUAUGGAGUAGCUCAUUUCUUAAAGUUUCUGAGUUAAUCUCAUUCAGGUGGGUUCCUUUAGGAAAAACUCACUUUAAUAGAGUAGCUUUAAUAGUUUUCCCCAAAUUCAAUUAUGCAUGUUAACUUAGGGAUUUAGGAUUAAUUAGGAAAACUCUUGAAUUGAAUUAAUUAAUGACUUAAACAAUACAUAAGCUAAAUUGAACUCUGCAAUAUUUUGGAUUAUUUUGUAGUUUUUUUUUUGUGUGUAGGUUUUGAUAUGUGAUUUCUUGAAUCCAUCAUGGGACAAGAGUGAGUAACAUGAAAUUUGAUUUGAGGGUAGUUUUGAUUCAGUUUCAAUUAUUGCUUUUGACCGUGUCGCUUCUACCGUCAAGUCUGCAGUUGAUAUUCAAACACCGGGUGAUCUUAUAACUCUUAUUGCUGCAGCUACAACAGGUACUUUGUUAAUCUUUCUAUGAACUGACAUUAUCUAUAGUUUGGUUAUUUAAGAAGUUCAAUCGCGAUUUUGUCCUGGUUCAUUGUCUGGUUGGGUUUGUAAAACAUUGUUUUCUAUGCUUGUAAGAUGUAAGAUUUUCUACGGGUGAUAAUGAAGGUACUACUAAUUUAGUUUACCAUUGAGGCUUAUCUUUUUAUUUUUAUUUUUUUAUAAUGUGCUUAGUGAUUUAGCUAUGAAGUGAGAAUAUUAAAAUAAUAUUGAUUUUGAGUUUGCAUACUUACAUCAUGCAUUUUUAAUUUGCUUGGACAGUUUGCAUGCUCUGAAUGUUCCAUGAUUCAAAUCUUUGCAUAAGCACUAUCCAGGCAUCAAGUGGCAUGAUUGUAGAUGCAAAAUUCAGAAAAGCAUGCACCUUGUGAUGCUAACUCCUCUUUAAACUCUUUAUUCUAAUUGUGUUUUAUGUUGCUACAAGCACUUAAUAGGCCUAAGCUUCUCUUCACAUUUCUUUGGACUCUUUUAUGCUGCUAUCAUGUGCUUCAUUGUUUAUAACUUCAUUUUGCAUUGUGAUGUUAAUUUGAGACACGGUCAUAUUUUCUUCGAUACAGGGUAAAAAGGCUACUGCUUUUCCUGCCAUGUGCAGCAAGUUAUCAGAUCAGAGUGAAGUAGAAAACAGGGUUGUUGUUGAUGGGACACUAUGCACUAUUUCAUAUCGUUUGAGCAGAUGCCUCGGAACCUCCAUUGAGUUUGCAUUAGUUAUUGUGCAGAAGCUGUUUGGACGCAAUUUAGCUCUAGAACUUGCAAAGACAACAGUGUUCACAAGCCCAUAAUGUAUUUAAAUGAUCAGAAUUUCGUCGCAGUCAGUCUAUCUAAGCUAUUGAUAGAUAUCAAGUGGUUCGUGGCAUGACUUUGACCGAUCAGAAACUAAAGAUGGAUGUCAAAAUAUACGAUGCUGCAAGAUCCAAAACCAAAACCAGAUUCAAGUAUCUGUUGAAAAGAAAAAUAGGAAAGAUAUAUUUCAAAGAUGGAUGGUAUGAUGGGGGCUUGAAGAAGGUUUUUUUAGUUGGCUAUCUGGUGUGUAUCCUUAUAUGAAAUUAGUUGUCAUCCAAGCAUAGACUUUGCAGCAAAGAAAGUAACUGUUGUUGGAGAUGUGACUCAAUUGAGUGUAAUGGCAAGCAUAACAAAGGUGAAGUCUGCAUAAAUUUGGCCAGAAUUUGCUUCACCAAUUGGAGCUACAAGUGGUGCUGCUGAAUAAAGGAAAUAAACUAUAGGUGCUUUCGUAUGCUUUGAGUCUGUAUUAGGUGGUAGUUUAAUUAGUGUAAAUGAGAAUGUUAGCAAGUGAAGUUGUGGCUUUGAAGAGAUAUUGGUAGUUUAUUUAGAAGGAGCUUUAUCUUUGCAUAAGGAUUGACUAUUGAAACCGAUUUUCAUAAUGAGUCUGAUGUGUGGAUAUAAAUAGUGGAUCAUAUAAGUAAAGAUUCAUUUUUUAAA